This is a long non-coding RNA of Oreochromis aureus, 2128 nucleotides long. RefSeq lists it as uncharacterized. NCBI's taxonomy places the organism in Eukaryota, Metazoa, Chordata, Actinopteri, Cichliformes, Cichlidae. The record is from RefSeq and is a predicted model, not a curated record. The transcript has 7 exons.
CACCACUCCAUCUCCUCUUACCGACUCACCAGAUGGAAUGGUGGUGCUGCCUGCAGGGUCCCGCCUGACAUCUCAGAUCCUGACUCCGGUCCUUCCUGACAAGGCGAAUAUUUUUGUGCUGAAGGCAGACCGGAGGAACUGUGUCCGCACCCUGGAGGUCAACGGCCUCACUGUCAACAGAGUCAUAUCUGCUGUGUAUCGCACAGAAGACUGUGACACUGAGAUGACAAACAUCUGGAGGGUCACUGACUACAGCUCAGAGGGCAACGUCAUCAUGUCAGUGCUCUGCCGCUUCCGGAGGAUGUUUGCACAGCGUGCAAAAAGAAAGGCGACAGAGGAGAAAAGCAGCAGCAGGAGCCCCGCUCCACCAAGGAAGCGCUUCAGACUCUAAUCAAGAUCGAAGCCUUUCCUGGAGAACUUAUUUUCUCCAAACUUUUGUACAUAUGUAUAUAGUUCUUUGUUAUUGUUGAGAUACACAGGUCAGUGUUUUCAGUGCCUCUUGCACUUUUCUUUAUUUCUUGUUGCUGGCCUGUGUUUUUGAUAUUACUAUUAGGAUUACAAAAUGACUUUAUUAUAUAAUCUAUGCAAAUGAACUAAGGAUCCAUGAAGACAGUGGCAAGGAUAAAUUAUUCUCUGCUGCAUCUCACACAUCAGCAAGAACCAACACAGUGAAUCUGAUGAAAAGGAGAAACAAAAAGAGACACACCACAAACGAGUUUCCCUGACUAACAUGAGAGGAGCAGUAACUGCAUAAGGAGGAAGAAACAGGAGCAUCCAAAGACAGCCUGAGAGUUUUUGGGGGCACCGUGAACAGCAGUCACCUCAGAGCAAGAGAGUCCUGGUGGCUGUCUGGGUUCUCUCCAGUUGCUCUGGCUUCAUCCCACAGUCCAGAGAAAUGAUCUGAGCUGGUGAGUCCAGUCAGUGUGUGUCAGAUAAUCGUCAACAAACUUGAGGAACCGUCCUUUAAACAGCAGCCAUUUGGACUCUAUGAACAAUCUGCUCCUCUCCCUUUACCAUGACCUGGUUACGGGGUGCAAGGAUUUUCCUCCAAUUGCAGUCAGGGGACAGUUUCACUCAGAGGAGCUGACGACACCUUUUAGACCUGUGCUGCAGAUUUGGAGGGAAAACACCACUCCAUCUCCUCUUACUGACUCACCAGAUGGAAUGGUGGUGCUGCCUGCAGGGUCCCGCCUGACAUCUCAGAUCCUGACUCCGGUCCUUCCUGACAAGGCGAAUAUUUUUGUGCUGAAGGCAGACCGGAGGAACUGUGUCCGCACCCUGGAGGUCAACAGCCUCACCGACAACAGAGUCAUAUCUGCUGUGUAUCGCACAGAAGACUGUGACGCUGAGAUGACAAACAUCUGGAGGGUCACUGACUACAGCUCAGAGGGCAACGUCAUCAUGUCAGUGCUCUGCCGCUUCCCGAGGAAGUUUGCACAGCGUGCAAAAACAAAGGCGACAGAGGAGAAAAGCAGCAGCAGGAGCCCCGCUCCACCAAGGAAGCGCUUCAGACUCUAAUCAAGAUCGAAGCCUUUCCUGGAGAACUUAUUUUCUCCAAACUUUUGUACAUAUGUAUAUAGUUCUUUGUUAUUGUUGAGAAACACAGGUCAGUGUUUUCAGUGCCUCUUGCACUUUUCUUUAUUUCUUGUUGCUGGCCUGUGUUUUUGAUAUUACUAUUAGGAUUACAAAAUGACUUUAUUAUAUAAUCUAUGCAAAUGAACUAAGGAUCCAUGAAGACAGUGGCAAGGAUAAAUUAUUCUCUGCUGCAUCUCACACAUCAACAAGAACCAACACAGUGAAUCUGAUGAAAAGGAGAAACAAAAAGAGACACACCACAAACGAGUUUCCCUGACUAACAUGAGAGGAGCAGUAACUGCAUAAGGAGGAAGAAACAGGAGCAUCCAAAGACAGCCUGAGAGUUUUUGGGGCACCGUGAACAGCAGUCACCUCAGAGCAAGAGAGUCCUGGUGGCUGUCUGGGUUCUCUCCAGGAGCUCUGGCUUCAUCCCACAGUCCAGAGAAAUGAUCUGAGCUGGUGAGUCCAGUCAGUGUGUGUCAGAUAGUCGUCAACAAACUUGAGGAACCGUCCUUUAAACAGCAGCCAUUUGGACUCUAUGAACAAUCUGCUC